RNAcentral lists this ribosomal RNA (626 nucleotides) under Hymenochaetales sp. UC2023041. RNAcentral's name for it is "eukaryotic LSU rRNA". The record is from RNAcentral. Lineage: Eukaryota; Fungi; Basidiomycota; Agaricomycetes; Hymenochaetales.
UAAUGAACAAGGCCCCGCCGUGUUAAAAAGCGCGCGGGUGUCUAUUCUUACCCUUCUCACCCAUUGUGCACACUGAUCGCGCSYSCCGAAGCCGGCUUUGUGGCCUCGCGGCCCUCAGUCUGAUGGAGGUCGCGUGAGAUGGCUUUGUCCCAAUCUAUGAAGUCGUUCGAUGUGAUGAAUUUUGGAAAUCUUAACAACUCCUGACGACGGAUCUCUCGGCUCCCACACCGAUGAAGAACGUGGCUAAAUGCGAUAAGUGAUGUGAAUUGCAGAACGCUCAGUGAAUCAUCGAAUCUUUGAACGCACCUUGCGCUCCCUGGUACUCCGGGGAGCAUGCCCGUUUGAGUGUCGUGUGCCUCUUCACCGGAACCGCUGUGACUCGUUCACUUUGGUUUGCAGGUGGCGGUGGGAUCGUUGGCCCCCUCGGGGGUCUACCUUCCUCAAAUUGAUCAGCGAUGCCCGGUCCCGAAACCUUUGGUAUGCGUGGGUGUUAAAUUUUACUGCCUUCGUUCCAUCGGCCGAGGGACUCUUGUGGAGUCUUCGCUUUCUAACCGUCCUUCUUGGACAACACACUCUCGCUCUGACCUCAAAUCGGGUAGGGUUACCCGCUGAAUUUAAGCAUAUCA